GGUUAAGUGACUAAGCGUACACGGUGGAUGCCUAGGCAGUCAGAGGCGAUGAAGGGCGUGCUAAUCUGCGAAAAGCGUCGGUAAGGUGAUAUGAACCGUUAUAACCGGCGAUACCCGAAUGGGGAAACCCAGUGUGUUUCGACACACUAUCAUGUCAUGAAUACAUAGUGGCAUGAGGCGAACCGGGGGAACUGAAACAUCUAAGUACCCCGAGGAAAAGAAAUCAACCGAGAUUCCCCCAGUAGCGGCGAGCGAACGGGGAGGAGCCCAGAACCUGAAUCGGCUUGUGUGUUAGUGGAAGCGUCUGGAAAGUCGCGCAGCAAAGGGUGAUAGCCCCGUACACUAAAAUGCACAGGUCGUGAGUUCGAUGAGUAGGGCGGGACACGUGACAUCCUGUCUGAAUAUGGGGGGACCAUCCUCCAAGGCUAAAUACUCCUGACUGACCGAUAGUGAACCAGUACCGUGAGGGAAAGGCGAAAAGAACCCCGGCGAGGGGAGUGAAAUAGAACCUGAAACCGUGUACGUACAAGCAGUGGGAGCACCUUCGUGGUGUGACUGCGUACCUUUUGUAUAAUGGGUCAGCGACUUAUAUUUUGUAGCAAGGUUAACCGUAUAGGGGAGCCGUAGGGAAACCGAGUCUUAACUGGGCGAAUAGUUGCAAGGUAUAGACCCGAAACCCGGUGAUCUAGCCAUGGGCAGGUUGAAGGUUGGGUAACACUAACUGGAGGACCGAACCGACUAAUGUUGAAAAAUUAGCGGAUGACUUGUGGCUGGGGGUGAAAGGCCAAUCAAACCGGGAGAUAGCUGGUUCUCCCCGAAAGCUAUUUAGGUAGCGCCUCGUGAACUCAUCUUCGGGGGUAGAGCACUGUUUCGGCUAGGGGGCCAUCCCGGCUUACCAAACCGAUGCAAACUCCGAAUACCGAAGAAUGUUAUCACGGGAGACACACGGCGGGUGCUAACGUCCGUCGUGAAGAGGGAAACAACCCAGACCGCCAGCUAAGGUCCCAAAGUCAUGGUUAAGUGGGAAACGAUGUGGGAAGGCACAGACAGCCAGGAUGUUGGCUUAGAAGCAGCCAUCAUUUAAAGAAAGCGUAAUAGCUCACUGGUCGAGUCGGCCUGCGCGGAAGAUGUAACGGGGCUAAACCAUGCACCGAAGCUGCGGCAGCGACGCUUAGGCGUUGUUGGGUAGGGGAGCGUUCUGUAAGCCGUUGAAGGUGGCCUGUGAGGGUUGCUGGAGGUAUCAGAAGUGCGAAUGCUGACAUAAGUAACGAUAAAGCGGGUGAAAAGCCCGCUCGCCGGAAGACCAAGGGUUCCUGUCCAACGUUAAUCGGGGCAGGGUGAGUCGACCCCUAAGGCGAGGCUGAAAAGCGUAGUCGAUGGGAAACAGGUUAAUAUUCCUGUACUUGGUGUUACUGCGAAGGGGGGACGGAGAAGGCUAGGCUAGCCGGGCGACGGUUGUCCCGGUUUAAGCGUGUAGGGGGUGUGACCUGGUAAAUCCGGUU
This 1502-nucleotide ribosomal RNA is filed under the name Serratia marcescens. RNAcentral describes it as "partial 23S ribosomal RNA". It matches the Rfam family "Bacterial large subunit ribosomal RNA", at positions 1 to 1547 of the family's 2925-position model. The record is from RNAcentral. Lineage: Bacteria; Pseudomonadati; Pseudomonadota; Gammaproteobacteria; Enterobacterales; Yersiniaceae.